Molecule: ribosomal RNA, 486 nt
Filed under: uncultured bacterium
Lineage: Bacteria
Description: partial 16S ribosomal RNA
Rfam family: Bacterial small subunit ribosomal RNA
Source: RNAcentral
AUUGAACGCUGGCGGCAUGCCUUACACAUGCAAGUCGAACGGCAGCACGGGUGCUUGCACCUGGUGGCGAGUGGCGAACGGGUGAGUAAUACAUCGGAACAUGUCCUGUAGUGGGGGAUAGCCCGGCGAAAGCCGGAUUAAUACCGCAUACGAUCUACGGAUGAAAGCGGGGGACCUUCGGGCCUCGCGCUAUAGGGUUGGCCGAUGGCUGAUUAGCUAGUUGGUGGGGUAAAGGCCUACCAAGGCGACGAUCAGUAGCUGGUCUGAGGGGACGACCAGCCACACUGGGACUGAGACACGGCCCAGACUCCUACGGGAGGCAGCAGUGGGGAAUUUUGGACAAUGGGCGAAAGCCUGAUCCAGCAAUGCCGCGUGUGUGAAGAAGGCCUUCGGGUCGUAAAGCACUUUUGUCCGGAAAGAAAUCCUUGGCCCUAAUACGGUCGGGGGAUGACGGUACCGGAAGAAUAAGCACCGGCUAACUACGUG